Long non-coding RNA from Formica exsecta, 1199 nucleotides. RefSeq lists it as uncharacterized. Lineage: Eukaryota; Metazoa; Arthropoda; Insecta; Hymenoptera; Formicidae. The record is from RefSeq and is a predicted model, not a curated record. The transcript is spliced from 5 exons.
CAAGUAAAACUGUUGGCAAAAUUUCAAUCCAGUUUUCAUUUGCGUGACACAUAAUAGCACUCUUCAAUGUACGGUGCCAUCGUUCCAGAAUACCAUUAGAAGCCGGAUGAUAAGCUGAGGUUCUAAUACGCUCGCAACCAAUUAGGUUGGUGAGAGCCUUAAAUAAUGCAGCUUCAAAUUGAGGACCUUGGUCGGUUGUGAUCGUCUGUGGAGCACCAUACCUCGCAACCCAGUGCGUAUAAAAAGCUGUAGAAACAGUAUCAGCUGAAAUUUCAGUAAGAGGGAUUGCUUCCGGCCAUCUAGAAAAUCUGUCAAUCAUGGUUAAACAAUAACGAAAAUUUUGACAAAUAGGAAGAGGUCCAAUCAAAUCUAGAUGAAUAUGCUGAAAACGCUGAUCUGGAAUAGCAAUCUUUUGAGGAAGAUUCUUGUUUGCAGGUAGAACGACCACUUGGAUGAGAUAAACCAUGAACAACAUCAAAAAUUUUCCUACGAAGCUGUUGAGGUACAUAAGGACGGAUAUUAACAGUAGAGCAGUCACAGAAAAUAGGCGUAGUCGAGCCAAGAAACUAUGAUAGGCAUCGAAACGGAUUCAAUUCUAGAGAGUGAAUCUGCAACUACAUUUUGUUUACCAGAUAUAUGCUCGAUGUUUGUUGAAAAUUGAGCAAUGAAAUCAAGAUGUCGGAUCUGUCUGGGUGAAGAUUUAUCCGAUUUUUGUUGAAAAGCAUAAAUUAAAGGUUUAUGAUCUGUCCGAAUAAGAAUCUGACGUCCUUCAAGUAUGUACCUGAAAUGCUUGAUGGCUAAAUAAAUACCAAGAAGUUCACGAUCAUGCACCAACUGCAAAAUCCGAUGCGUCACAAGUGAGGAUAAGAGGUACAGUUGAAGCCGGAUGCGCUAAAGUUGUGACUCGUAAGAGUUCUUCUUUGCAAUUUUUGAAAGCUUCUUCAGCUUCAGAAGUCCAAGUGACUAACCUUUUAUCCCUUUUUCUGCUAUCCUUAAGAUAAUCCGUAAGAACUGCCUGAUGUGAUGCAGCAUUUUUCAGACAACGACGAUGUCGGUUUAAUUCCUUGCUUGGAAACUAAAUAGCCAAGGAAAGAAAUUUCAUCCUUACCAAAGAGACAUUUGGACAAAUUAAUCGUCAUGCCGAAUUGUUUAAGCCGAGAAAACACAGUAUGAAGAUGUUUGGCAUGUUCUUUCUCAUU